Molecule: unclassified non-coding RNA, 331 nt
Filed under: soil metagenome
Description: partial contains 5.8S ribosomal RNA, internal transcribed spacer 2, and large subunit ribosomal RNA
Rfam family: 5.8S ribosomal RNA (bases 1-120)
Source: RNAcentral
GAUGAAGAACGUAGCGAAAUGCGAUAAGUAAUGUGAAUUGCAGAAUUCAGUGAAUCAUCGAAUCUUUGAACGCACAUUGCGCCCCCUGGUAUUACGGGGGGCAUGCCUGUUCGAGCGUCAUUUCACCACUCAAGCCUCGCUUGGUAUUGGGCAACGCGGUCCGCCGCGUGCCUCAAAUCGACCGGCUGGGUCUUCUGUCCCCUAAGCGUUGUGGAAACUAUUCGCUAAAGGGUGUUCGGGAGGCUACGCCGUAAAACAACCCCAUUUCUAAGGUUGACCUCGGAUCAGGUAGGGAUACCCGCUGAACUUAAGCAUAUCAAUAAGCGGAGGA